Acipenser ruthenus (sterlet) is the source of this 1267-nucleotide long non-coding RNA. RefSeq lists it as uncharacterized. The record is from RefSeq and is a predicted model, not a curated record. NCBI's taxonomy places the organism in Eukaryota, Metazoa, Chordata, Actinopteri, Acipenseriformes, Acipenseridae. The transcript is spliced from 4 exons.
UGUCCCGAGUGUGGAGUUAUACUCUCCGGGUCUGUUUGAAGGCGAUUCGGACUGGACCGAGCCGGUUCCGGUGCUGUGUUUGGUGAGAGACACGUCUCCGGGGCGGCACCGAGUCCUCUGGACUAUCGGCGCCGAGGCAGACGCGCCGGGCAUCGCGGAGGAGGGAGAGAUCGAACCCGACGGGUCCUAUAGCGUGCGCAGCUACGUCACAAUCAGCGCAGAUCAUUGGAACAGCGGCGCUGUAAAGUGCGAGGUUUACAACAACAUCACCAACGUCACAGAAAAAGUCUCCGCGUCACUCCGAAGGCAAGAUUGCGUUCCUGUGUUGUUUUACGGACUGCCCCCCGUUCUCCUGCUAAUUCUGGUCCUGGUGUCUGUGGCGUGUGUUUACAGAAGACUUCAUAAAACUAAAACCGAUCACAAGUCCAGCGAUGCUCCCUGCCGUCCCCAGCGCCCCGCCCGACACAGAACAGUCCAGGAUUACUCGACGGAGUACGCAUCGCUCAAUCUGUGAUGCUGAUCUAUAAAUGCAGCCGUGGAGAUGUUUGUAUUGUGGAGAGAGAGAGAGAGAGAGAGAGAGAGAGAGAGAGAGAGAGGGAGAGAGGGGGAGAGAGAGAGAGAGAGCUGUAUACUCUUUCAAUUCCAAGUCCAAUUCUCUGUGCAUUUACAUAGUAGUUAGUAAAUACAUGCGUAACACAAUUACAAUGUUAUUUUGCAUUGUUACAAUGUACUUACAGUGGAAAUCUCUGUGCUUGAUAUAACCCUAUCCCUAACACUAACCCUAACCCUUUGCUGAUACCGCUGUGUACUUGCAUAUAUUGUGCAAAAAGACAUCCACACUAAGCACUUUGUAACUAUGCAUAAUACCAUUGUAAUGAUGUGCCAGUCUGCAUGCAUUUACCAAAUACAAAGUAAUGAGAGACACUUCAUGUAAAAUAUUAAAUUUGCAGACGACACAAAAAUAGGAGGAGUGGCAAACUCUGUUGCAGCAGCAAAGGUCAUUUAAAAUAAUCUAGACAGCAUUCAGUACUGGGCAGACACAUGGCAAAUGACAUUUAAUAGAGAAAAGUGUAACGUAUUGCACGCAGGCAAUAAAAAUGUGCAUUAUAAAUAUCAUAUGGGAGACACUGAAAUUAAAGAAGGGAACUAUGAAAAAGACCUAGGAGUUUAUGUUGACUCAGAAAUGUCUUCAUCUAGACAAUGUGGGGAAGCUAUAAAAAAGGCCAACAAGAUGCUCGGAUAUAUUGUGAGAAGUGUUGAAUUUAAA